This 254-nucleotide ribosomal RNA is filed under the name uncultured bacterium. Its description in RNAcentral is "partial 16S ribosomal RNA". It matches the Rfam family "Bacterial small subunit ribosomal RNA", at positions 524 to 776 of the family's 1533-position model. The record is from RNAcentral.
UACGGGGGGAGCAAGCGUUGUUCGGAUUUACUGGGCGUAAAGGGCGCGUAGGCGGUCGUGACAAGUCACUUGUGAAAUCUCCGGGCUUAACUCGGAACGGUCAAGUGAUACUGUCGGACUAGAGUACAGAAGGGGCAACUGGAAUUCUCGGUGUAGCGGUGAAAUGCGUAGAUAUCGGGAAGAACACCCGUGGCGAAGGCGGUUCUCUGGGACGGUACUGACGCUGAGACGCGAAAGCGUGGGGAGCAAACAGG